GAUGAAGAACGUAGCGAAAUGCGAUAAGUAAUGCGAAUUGCAGAAUUUCCGUGAGUCAUCGAAUCUUUGAACGCACAUUGCGCCCACUGGUAUUCCGGUGGGCAUGCCUGUUCGAGCGUCAUUAUCCCCCCUCAAACCCCGUGUUUGGUGUUAGACCCAAGUUGUGUGAACAACUGGUCUCAAAGACAAUGACGGCGUCCGUGGGACCCUCGGUGCAACGAGCUUUUAGGAGCACGCGCUGAACUUAAGCAUAUCAAUAAGCGGAGGA
This 268-nucleotide unclassified non-coding RNA is filed under the name soil metagenome. RNAcentral's name for it is "partial contains 5.8S ribosomal RNA and internal transcribed spacer 2". The stretch from base 1 to 121 matches the Rfam family "5.8S ribosomal RNA", at positions 35 to 154 of the family's 154-position model. The record is from RNAcentral.